RNAcentral lists this long non-coding RNA (316 nucleotides) under Amborella trichopoda. Its description in RNAcentral is "long non-coding RNA (ATRI_LNC000088)". Lineage: Eukaryota; Viridiplantae; Streptophyta; Magnoliopsida; Amborellales; Amborellaceae. The record is from RNAcentral.
UUUUUUUCUUGUAAUCCAUGAUCGAAUUUUAUUUUUUAUUUUUUAUUUUUGUAACCCCUGAUAGAAUUUUUUGUAAUCCAUGAUCAAAUGUUUUGUAAUCCAUGAUCGAAAUGUUUGUUUUUUUUUUGUAAUCCAAGAUCGAAAUGUUUGUUUUUUUUGUAAUCCAUGAUCGAAUUUUUUGUUUUUUGUUUUUUAUGUAACCCAUGAUAGAGUUUUUUGUAAUCCAUGAUUGAAUUUUUUGUAAUCCAUGAUCUAAUUGUUUUUUUCUUUUUUUGUAAUCCACGAUCGAAUUUUUUGUUUUUUUUGUUUUUUUUUU